This 253-nucleotide ribosomal RNA is filed under the name uncultured bacterium. RNAcentral's name for it is "partial 16S ribosomal RNA". It matches the Rfam family "Bacterial small subunit ribosomal RNA", at positions 524 to 776 of the family's 1533-position model. The record is from RNAcentral.
UACAGAGGAGCCAAGCGUUGUCCGGAUUGACUGGGCGUAAAGCGCACGCAGGCGGCACCGUGCGUGGGGUGUGAAAUCUGGCCGCUUAACGGCCAGGCGCCAUCCCAUACGGCGGAGCUGGAGUGAUGCAGAGGUCGAUGGAAUUGCCGGUGUAGUGGUGAAAUGCGUAGAGAUGUGGAGGAAUACCGAUGGCGAAGGCAGCCCCCUGGGAUAACACUGACGCUCAUGCACGAAAGCGUGGGGAGCAAACAGG